CAGUGCUUGGGAUGGGAUGGUUGGGCAGCCCCCACUGAAAUCACCCUUCAGGCUGUUGGUGGAGACCUCAACUGGCCCCAAAAAGCAUGGUGGUGUCCGUGCAGCUUCCCAUUGUUCUGGCUAGAUGGUGCCUACCCCUGCCAGGUGAAGCCAAUUCUCCUUAACUCCAGCUCCCAAGGAGAUCUGAAGAAGGGAGGGAGCUGAAGAAUGACUGUGCAACUCCAAAUGCCGACCAAACUCCCCCAGUGGCCUCUACCAUCCCACCCCUAGGGCAGCGGUGCGUGGUCCUCCCUUCAGGUGAGCAGCUCAGGGGAGUUUCUUCUCUAAAGAACAGCAAUUCCUGUCCCUCUCCUUUUGCUCAGGGUGUGGGGAAACUUCAAAAUGCCACUUCCAAGGGAAAACAGGCAGCUUGAUCCAUGAGCUGGCAGCUCACUCUUGAAAUGAUUGAUUUUGAGAGAGCUUCAGGGGACCACCACAUACUUUUCACACUGGAAUGUAUCUCCCUUAUAGCUGGCAUGUCAAAGAGAGCUGAGUGGUGUCUCUGUGCAGCCAGCCAGUAUGGAUCCAGCUGGUGGGAUCUCAGCCAUGCCUUGUGCUCUGGAAUUCAAACCUCAUGACAGGUCCUUCAUCUGACAGUCAGCUGUCAGGUACAGAGGAACACAACGUUCCUGAUUCAAAACAGGUCAUUUCAAAGAAUGGUUUCAGAGGGAAUCAGAUCAGAGCUCAGAUCUUUGCACAGUGCUUGGACCAGCUCCUGUCAUGUAAUGGGGUAAGAGCCAUUAAAGCUUUUGGAUAUUUUGCUUUUUUAAGUUUAAUUUCCAUUCAGUAGUGCCAAAGCGCUCUGAGGUCUUUUAAAGGAGGCAAAACAGCUAGAGAAAACAAUUUCCAAAUUUAAGGGUCAUAGAAGCUGUGGCCACCCCAUCCCUGCAAGGCCAGGUUGGACGGACCUGGUGUAGUGGGAGGUGUCCCUACCCAUGGCAGGGGUGGAACUGGAUGGGCUUUAAGGUCCCUCCCAGCCCAGACCAUUCUGUGGUUCCAUGAGACACCCAACAAGGAUCAGCUCUUGGAGGAAGUGAAAGUUCCCAGUGGGAUGUGACCGGCGUGGGCUGGAUUUGGGUGUCCCAUGUCCAAAGCCACAGAGACCAUAUCCCACCCCUCCUGGCACUCCCUGGAGUGUCACUGUGCCCAGUCAGGUCCCCGGGGUGUCAGAGAGCAGAGACUCCUCACCCUCUGUCAAUUAGAGGGUGUCACACGGUGACACAUCCCAAAUGCCACCUGCCAGGCCUUCCCAAGGGAAGCAGGAGGCUGACACCUGAGCUCUGCAUUUUUCCUGGGAUGGCCAGUGCUGCUGGGAGCUGCUG
Molecule: long non-coding RNA, 1361 nt
Filed under: Cyanistes caeruleus (blue tit)
Lineage: Eukaryota; Metazoa; Chordata; Aves; Passeriformes; Paridae
Description: lncRNA (ENSCCEG00000020472.1)
Source: RNAcentral